GACGAACGCUUGCGACGUGCCUAAGAAAUGCAAGUCGAACGGGGUAGCAAUACCUAGUGGCGAACGGUCGCGUAACACGUGGGCAACCUGCCCCAGAGCGGGGGAUAACACUCCGAAAGGAAUGCUAAUACCGCAUGUGGCGGCUCUCUGCAUGGAGAGUUGGCUAAAGAUUUAUCACUCUGGGAUGGGCCCGCGGCCUAUCAGCUAGUUGGUGGGGUAACGGCCUACCAAGGCUUCGACGGGUAGCUGGUCUGAGAGGACGAUCAGCCG
Molecule: ribosomal RNA, 270 nt
Filed under: uncultured bacterium
Lineage: Bacteria
Description: partial 16S ribosomal RNA
Rfam family: Bacterial small subunit ribosomal RNA
Source: RNAcentral